GGUCCCAAGGGUAUGGCUGUUCGCCAUUUAAAGUGGUACGCGAGCUGGGUUCAGAACGUCGUGAGACAGUUCGGUCCCUAUCUGCGGUGGGCGCUGGAGAUUUGAGAGGAUCUGUCCUUAGUACGAGAGGACCGGGACGGACGUACCUCUUGUGUACCGGUUGUCAUGCCAUUGGCAUCGCCGGGUAGCUAUGUACGGACGGGAUAACCGCUGAAAGCAUCUAAGCGGGAAACCCACCUCGAGAUGAGAUCUCCCCGGGAGUUCGACUCCCCUAAAGGUCCGUCGAAGACCACGACGUUGAUAGGCGGGAUGUGUAAGUCCGGUAACGGAUUGAGCUAACCCGUACUAAUUGGCCGUGAGGCUUGACCAUAUAACACCCAAGAUGUUUGG
This 390-nucleotide ribosomal RNA is filed under the name Candidatus Muproteobacteria bacterium RIFCSPHIGHO2_02_FULL_65_16. RNAcentral's name for it is "bacterial LSU rRNA". It matches the Rfam family "Bacterial large subunit ribosomal RNA", at positions 2561 to 2925 of the family's 2925-position model. Lineage: Bacteria; Pseudomonadati; Pseudomonadota; Candidatus Muproteobacteria. The record is from RNAcentral.